Molecule: long non-coding RNA, 1275 nt
Organism: Drosophila willistoni
Lineage: Eukaryota; Metazoa; Arthropoda; Insecta; Diptera; Drosophilidae
Exons: 3
Source: RefSeq, a predicted model, not a curated record
CCAUUUUGUUUCAAUUGGAACACACGCACACACACACACACACACACACUCGUAUUUCCAUAUAACAAGAAGUUCUUUUAGUUAGUAAAACUAAGCUAAUAUUCUUUGAUUAUAAGAAAUGUACAUGAAUGUUUAUAAUGUUUUAAUUUUUUUUGUUUGCAAUGUUCCUAGCAGCAAAAUAACAUUAAAACAUCAACCAGAUCGAUCACCUACACACACACACACACACACAAAACAAACACAACACAAAUUUUAAGAUGACGAAUAAUGUAUUCUCUUCUAUAUGCAUAUCUGAACAGACAUAUGUAUAGAUGAAAUGGCAACGAGAAAACAAGAAAUGAAAAAUAAUGAUCCUGCAAAUGAUAUGAUGAGAAAAUAAAACAGAAAUAUUGAAUUAUUUGAAAACGAAAAAGUAAAACAUAAAUUGUAUUUUUCAUUCUGGGUGGAGAAGCAGCUAAUAUACAUAUAUUCUGAAGAAUUUGGGCUUAAAGACAAUGUAUGAGUUAAAGAUUUGAAAUAUGGAUAAUUCGGGACUGUACUAAAACUACUUGGGAAUCACAACUAAAUGGAGUGAAGGCCUUACAGAGAAUCCACAGAGUUCACUUUUUGUGAAUCUCCUUACUAAAAAAGAAGAUAAAACAACAACAUUCUCGCAAUGGUCAAAUAAAAACCAAAUGAAGCUCAUUUCAAAUAUUGACAAGGAUUCUUAAAGUGGUCCCUGCCCAUACAACAAAUACUUAACUGAAGGUCCUUACGAAGUAUUCUUUAUUCUUUUAAUAGGUCUAAGAUUUAGUUUUCUUUUAAAAUAAAAACAUAAAUUGAGUGCUUGAGAACAGCCGAGGAAAACGCUAUGGAUAUUGGAUAACUUGUAUCUAUGGACAUGAACCCGGGAAUCCUAGAAAGCAUCUCCAAUACGAAUGUCUUUUAAUCUUAGCCCAAACGAACUUCUUACCAUAUAUAUAUAUAUAUCUCAUUGACUAAAAACUGGCAUUACAACGAAUCUCGUCAGUUUCUAAAUGAGAAUAUUUAUGAUUGAUAUUUUUCGAAUGGGAAAAGGAAAAGGAGUUUGAAUCAUGAAGCUUAAGUUUCAAGUAUUGCUAGAACCGUAAAAUAAAUCGGAAAAUAAUACCCUCCCGCCCCUUUCUAGAUCUGAGACGCCACUCUAGAUGAGUUUGAAAAGAAAUGCUUCCUUGGUAUAAAUUAGGAUUAACUAAGGAACAAAUAGUCUCAGAACUCUAACAAAAGGUUGCUGAAUUACUUUUUGAAUAUUCAUAA